RNAcentral lists this ribosomal RNA (2764 nucleotides) under Salmonella enterica subsp. enterica serovar Tennessee. RNAcentral's name for it is "bacterial LSU rRNA". It matches the Rfam family "Bacterial large subunit ribosomal RNA". The record is from RNAcentral. Lineage: Bacteria; Pseudomonadati; Pseudomonadota; Gammaproteobacteria; Enterobacterales; Enterobacteriaceae.
GGGUUGUGAGGUUAAGCGACUAAGCGUACACGGUGGAUGCCCUGGCAGUCAGAGGCGAUGAAGGACGUGCUAAUCUGCGAUAAGCGCCGGUAAGGUGAUAUGAACCGUUAUAACCGGCGAUUUCCGAAUGGGGAAACCCAGUGUGACUCGUCACACUAUCAUUAACUGAAUCCAUAGGUUAAUGAGGCGAACCGGGGGAACUGAAACAUCUAAGUACCCCGAGGAAAAGAAAUCAACCGAGAUUCCCCCAGUAGCGGCGAGCGAACGGGGAGGAGCCCAGAGCCUGAAUCAGCAUGUGUGUUAGUGGAAGCGUCUGGAAAGGCGCGCGAUACAGGGUGACAGCCCCGUACACAAAAGCGCAUGUGCUGUGAGCUCGAUGAGUAGGGCGGGACACGUGGUAUCCUGUCUGAAUAUGGGGGGACCAUCCUCCAAGGCUAAAUACUCCUGACUGACCGAUAGUGAACCAGUACCGUGAGGGAAAGGCGAAAAGAACCCCGGCGAGGGGAGUGAAAAAGAACCUGAAACCGUGUACGUACAAGCAGUGGGAGCNNGGGCGUUAAGUUGCAGGGUAUAGACCCGAAACCCGGUGAUCUAGCCAUGGGCAGGUUGAAGGUUGGGUAACACUAACUGGAGGACCGAACCGACUAAUGUUGAAAAAUUAGCGGAUGACCUGUGGCUGGGGGUGAAAGGCCAAUCAAACCGGGAGAUAGCUGGUUCUCCCCGAAAGCUAUUUAGGUAGCGCCUCGUGAAUUCAUCUCCGGGGGUAGAGCACUGUUUCGGCUAGGGGGCCAUCCCGGCUUACCAACCCGAUGCAAACUGCGAAUACCGGAGAAUGUUAUCACGGGAGACACACGGCGGGUGCUAACGUCCGUCGUGAAGAGGGAAACAACCCAGACCGCCAGCUAAGGUCCCAAAGUCAUGGUUAAGUGGGAAACGAUGUGGGAAGGCCCAGACAGCCAGGAUGUUGGCUUAGAAGCAGCCAUCAUUUAAAGAAAGCGUAAUAGCUCACUGGUCGAGUCGGCCUGCGCGGAAGAUGUAACGGGGCUAAACCAUGCACCGAAGCUGCGGCAGCGANNUGCUGGAGGUAUCAGAAGUGCGAAUGCUGACAUAAGUAACGAUAAAGCGGGUGAAAAGCCCGCUCGCCGGAAGACCAAGGGUUCCUGUCCAACGUUAAUCGGGGCAGGGUGAGUCGACCCCUAAGGCGAGGCCGAAAGGCGUAGUCGAUGGGAAACGGGUUAAUAUUCCCGUACUUGGUGUUACUGCGAAGGGGGGACGGAGAAGGCUAUGUUGGCCGGGCGACGGUUGUCCCGGUUUAAGCGUGUAGGUGUGUGUUCCAGGUAAAUCCGGUUCACUUUAACACUGAGGCGUGACGACGAGGCACUACGGUGCUGAAGCAACAAAUGCCCUGCUUCCAGGAAAAGCCUCUAAGCAUCAGGUAACAUCAAAUCGUACCCCAAACCGACACAGGUGGUCAGGUAGAGAAUACCAAGGCGCUUGAGAGAACUCGGGUGAAGGAACUAGGCAAAAUGGUGCCGUAACUUCGGGAGAAGGCACGCUGACAUGUAGGUGAAGUGAUUUACUCAUGGAGCUGAAGUCAGUCGAAGAUACCAGCUGGCUGCAACUGUUUAUUAAAAACACAGCACUGUGCAAACACGAAAGUGGACGUAUACGGUGUGACGCCUGCCCGGUGCCGGAAGGUUAAUUGAUGGGGUCAGCGCAAGCGAAGCUCCUGAUCGAAGCCCCGGUAAACGGCGGCCGUAACUAUAACGGUCCUAAGGUAGCGAAAUUCCUUGUCGGGUAAGUUCCGACCUGCACGAAUGGCGUAAUGAUGGCCAGGCUGUCUCCACCCGAGACUCAGUGAAAUUGAACUCGCUGUGAAGAUGCAGUGUACCCGCGGCAAGACGGAAAGACCCCGUGAACCUUUACUAUAGCUUGACACUGAACAUUGAGCCUUGAUGUGUAGGAUAGGUGGGAGGCUUUGAAGUGUGGACGCCAGUCUGCAUGGAGCCGACCUUGAAAUACCACCCUUUAAUGUUUGAUGUUCUAACGUGGACCCGUUAUCCGGGUUGCGGACAGUGUCUGGUGGGUAGUUUGACUGGGGCGGUCUCCUCCUAAAGAGUAACGGAGGAGCACGAAGGUUGGCUAAUCCUGGUCGGACAUCAGGAGGUUAGUGCAAUGGCAUAAGCCAGCUUGACUGCGAGCGUGACGGCGCGAGCAGGUGCGAAAGCAGGUCAUAGUGAUCCGGUGGUUCUGAAUGGAAGGGCCAUCGCUCAACGGAUAAAAGGUACUCCGGGGAUAACAGGCUGAUACCGCCCAAGAGUUCAUAUCGACGGCGGUGUUUGGCACCUCGAUGUCGGCUCAUCACAUCCUGGGGCUGAAGUAGGUCCCAAGGGUAUGGCUGUUCGCCAUUUAAAGUGGUACGCGAGCUGGGUUUAGAACGUCGUGAGACAGUUCGGUCCCUAUCUGCCGUGGGCGCUGGAGAACUGAGGGGGGCUGCUCCUAGUACGAGAGGACCGGAGUGGACGCAUCACUGGUGUUCGGGUUGUCAUGCCAAUGGCACUGCCCGGUAGCUAAAUGCGGAAGAGAUAAGUGCUGAAAGCAUCUAAGCACGAAACUUGCCCCGAGAUGAGUUCUCCCUGAGACUUAGAGUCUCCUGAAGGAACGUUGAAGACGACGACGUUGAUAGGCCGGGUGUGUAAGCGCAGCGAUGCGUUGAGCUAACCGGUACUAAUGAACCGUGAGGCUUAACCUUACAACGCCGAAG